This 1162-nucleotide ribosomal RNA is filed under the name Nocardiopsis sp. JSM 077054. RNAcentral's name for it is "bacterial SSU rRNA". It matches the Rfam family "Bacterial small subunit ribosomal RNA", at positions 85 to 1274 of the family's 1533-position model. The record is from RNAcentral. Lineage: Bacteria; Bacillati; Actinomycetota; Actinomycetes; Streptosporangiales; Nocardiopsidaceae.
GGGUACACGAGCGGCGAACGGGUGAGUAACACGUGAGCAACCUGCCCCUGACUCCGGGAUAAGCGGUGGAAACGCCGUCUAAUACCGGAUACGACCCACCACCUCAUGGUGGAGGGUGGAAAGUUUUAUCGGUCAGGGAUGGGCUCGCGGCCUAUCAGCUUGUUGGUGGGGUAACGGCCUACCAAGGCGAUUACGGGUAGCCGGCCUGAGAGGGCGACCGGCCACACUGGGACUGAGACACGGCCCAGACUCCUGCGGGAGGCAGCAGUGGGGAAUAUUGCACAAUGGGCGAAAGCCUGAUGCAGCGACGCCGCGUGGGGGAUGACGGCCUUCGGGUUGUAAACCUCUUUUACCACCAACGCAGGCUCCACGUUCUCGUGGGGUUGACGGUAGGUGGGGAAUAAGGACCGGCUAACUACGUGCCAGCAGCCGCGGUAAUACGUAGGGUCCGAGCGUUGUCCGGAAUUAUUGGGCGUAAAGAGCUCGUAGGCGGCAUGUCGCGUCUGCUGUGAAAGACCGGGGCUUAACUCCGGUUCUGCAGUGGAUACGGGCAUGCUAGAGGUAGGUAGGGGAGACUGGAAUUCCUGGUGUAGCGGUGAAAUGCGCAGAUAUCAGGAGGAACACCGGUGGCGAAGGCGGGUCUCUGGGCCUUACCUGACGCUGAGGAGCGAAAGCAUGGGGAGCGAACAGGAUUAGAUACCCUGGUAGUCCAUGCCGUAAACGUUGGGCGCUAGGUGUGGGGACUUUCCACGGUUUCCGCGCCGUAGCUAACGCAUUAAGCGCCCCGCCUGGGGAGUACGGCCGCAAGGCUAAAACUCAAAGGAAUUGACGGGGGCCCGCACAAGCGGCGGAGCAUGUUGCUUAAUUCGACGCAACGCGAAGAACCUUACCAAGGUUUGACAUCACCCGUGGACCUGUAGAGAUACAGGGUCAUUUAGUUGGUGGUGACAGUGGUGCAUGGCUGUCGUCAGCUCGUGUCGUGAGAUGUGGGGUAAGUCCCGCAACGAGCGCAACCCUGUCCAUGCACGUAAUGUGGGGACUCAUGGAGACUGCGGGUCACUCGGAGAGUGGGACGACGUCAGUCAUCAUGCCCUAUGUCUGGGCUGCAACAUGCUACAUGACGUUACAUGGGGGUGCGAUACCGUAAGGUGGGAGCGAAUUC